GGAGCACCGUAUCCUGAAGGAGAAGUGGAGGCAGCGAAAGCAAAGUAGGAGAGGAGUCUAUGUUACCUCCAUCAACAAGCCAUUCCAUUUAAAAAAAUCAGCGGUGUCUACAGCCCCAGGGACAACCAGCACACAUACUGACAGACAAACACCAUCAGUGGCAGCACAGGACCCAAAGACAGACAGACAAGACAAAGAUGCUUUGGAGGGAGGAAACUGCAAAGAGCACAAAGACAAAAGUCCCAUGGAGCACUUUGGAGGCAUCACUCACCAAAGGAAGUUAUCCCAGCCAGUAAAUUGGUGAAAGAAGUAGUGAUCAAACAAGGACAAAUGUUAAGCAUCCUGCACCCACAAACUUGGCUCAGCAGCGAUGAAGUGGAUGCAGCUUCUUUUUACAUUUCUCAGACAUUCCCUCAUAUAGAUGGGUUUCAGUCCAGCCACAUCAGAGUUUUCACCAAGGGGGUGUGGUUGGGACACCACAGAAUCCAUUUGUGCAAGUGUUGAACAUAAAUGACAACCACUGGAUCACAGCAAGCAACCUUUUUUGUGGACCCAAUGAGAUUUGCAUAUAUGACAGCAUGAACACAAACAUCACCAAGCAGACAAAGCAAAAAUGAUCCUGGUUGAUUCAUCCACAAGCACCCCAGUUUGGGAUCAGAACGCCUGCGGUACAAAUGCAGCAGUCUUCUAGCAGUUGCGGGUUGUUUGCGUUGGCCUUUGCAACUGUGUUGUGCAAGGGAGUGAAACCAGAGCAAUGCGAGUUCCAAGAAAGAACCAUGAGACAAACCUUAUACAGAGCUCUGAAAAGAAAACAGGCUCCAGUGUUCAUUUACAAAUCUAAACAAGCAAAACCUGAAAGGGCCACACUUCAGGUGGAGGUUCACUGCAUCUGCAGUACCUCCCACAACCAGGAGGUGAUGGUGCAGCGCAGCAGCUGCAAUCACUGGUUUCACCCCAAUUGUGUGUUUGUCCCACACAAUGCAUUGGACACCACCACAGAAGAGUGGAACUGUGAAAUCUGCAAUUAAAUAGUAAUUGUACUUUGGAUGCAGCAUAAAAAUAAAUGUCAAAUUAGUACAUUGACAGAUGUCAGGGAUCUAUGAGAGAGGACUCAAACGCAGGAUGAGUGUAACAGGUUUAUUGACAAGACAAGGCAUUAGACAAGAUAUUGAGGUGAGGAGGUGGGGGAGGGCUUCGAGCUCAGAAUUUUGGCUCGAACCCAGAGUACUACCCCCAGUUGUGGUAAAAAUAGAUAGAACUAGAAGUGAGGAGGGGUGGUGGAGGGAUGCUGAUAAACUGUCAAUGAACAGAGGUAAGUCUGCUGUAUUUAUACCUCUUGUCGUUGGUUGAGUUGAUUAACUGAAUGCUCUCCACAUGUGCUAAUUAGUUUAAUUAUCUGAACCUGCUCCUCCCAAACUUUGUAAUUUGGAGUUUGACAGACAGACUUUUUUUUAUUCAGACAGGUGUUUUUUAUUAUAAACAGGUGAGUGCUAAAAUCAAUGUAGAUUGAUGGCACUUAGCUUGAGCAUUAACAGUUCUUGGUUUGUUGCAGGUGCUGACGUCCAUGUGGUGCUGGCUUGGAGAAGACUGAAGACCAUACCACACCACAAUUAUGCAGAGUUUGAUGGACACUGGUGGAGAACAUUCCAACGAUCCAUUUGCAGACCUCGUUCAGGCAGUUUGUCACUCAUUCACCCGCUGCUUCUUCAAGCUCCACUGAGUUUCUGUCAGCCUCUCCUCCGGCUAUCAUCUGCAAACCAACGGCCAGACUGAGGGUAAGAUCCAAGAGAUCAGGAGGUACCUGCGGUCAUACUGCCACCAGAACCAAGACAGCUUAAGCCGAUUCCUCCCCUGGGCAGAGUACGCCCAGAACUCCCUCAGACAAUCCACCACCGGACUCACAGCAUUCCAGUGCAUCCUUGGAUAACAGCCUCCUCUGUUCCCCUGGUCUGGCGAACCAUUAAUGGUUCCAGCUGUCAAUCAUUGGUUCCAGCAGAGCAAGAGGGAGUGGGACUCAGCAGACGUGCAUCUCUAACAGGCAGUGCAGAGACACAAGACAAUCUGACACUCCCAGCAGAACAUCGACUCCACAGUACCAACCAGGUCAGAAGGUGUGGCUCUCUACACGGGACAUCUGUCUCUGCUUGCCUUGCCGUAAGCUGAGUCCCUGUUAUGUAGGUCCCUUCAAUGUGCAGAGGCAGAUCAACGAGGUCACAUACAGGAUCUGGUGGUGAUGAGAUACCUCCUCCUCCUGAAAUGGCUGACGACGAGGUCAUCUACCGGGUCCACUCCAUCAUGGACUCGCGGCGACGGGGCAAUCGAAUCAAAUACCUCAUUGACUGGUAAGGUUACAGCCCUGAAGAACAAUCCAGGGUUGCUCGUGAUGAUGUGCUCGAUCCAUCUCUUUUCACCCAAUUCCAUUCUGAUCAUUCGAAUCGUCCAGCACCAAGAUGUAGAGGCAGCCCCCAUCAUUGCACCAUCUGGACGUCAGGAGCCGCCCGUUGAGGAGGGGGUACUGUCAUGGCGUCGCAACCAUCUCAGACACCUUUCUGCCCAUCGUCACCAGACCAGCACGUUCUGCCAACUUAUUCACUCUCCCCAGCAUUCUGAUUCACUACACCUGUACUCCCUUAUCAACGCACCCCAUAUAUUCCAUCACAUCCUGCACUCCUUUGUCUGGUCUUGUCAUUCCCAUGUGAACAGACUCCUUUCCUGCUACUCACCUGUGUACUUACCUGCCACCAAGGAUCCUGUGUUCUGUCGUCUGCUACCAGCCCAUCGAGUGUACCUACCAGUCCUCCUCCUGCAUCUGCCAAAAAGACAUUCAUACUACAUUCCAAAAUUUGAUUUCAUAUUUUUAUGAAUUUUUAAAUCGUGUCUGUAUAGCAACAUAAACCAUAUUUGUCAUAACUUUGGCAUGUAAUUAUUAAAGAAUAAAACAGUUAAAGAACAUGAAAAUCACCACAGUUGUACUCGGGGAGAUGUAGAACAGGAAUCAGGUGGAGUUUGCAGAAAACAAUUUGAUUUCAUAUUUUUAUGAAUUUUUAAAAUUGGUCUCUAUAGCAACGUAAACUGUAUUUGUCAUAACUUUGGCAUACAAUUAUUAAAGAAUAAAACAGUAAAAGAACAUGAAAAUCACCACA
Molecule: long non-coding RNA, 3143 nt
Organism: Ctenopharyngodon idella (grass carp)
Lineage: Eukaryota; Metazoa; Chordata; Actinopteri; Cypriniformes; Xenocyprididae
Exons: 5
Source: RefSeq, a predicted model, not a curated record